Molecule: ribosomal RNA, 392 nt
Filed under: uncultured bacterium
Lineage: Bacteria
Description: bacterial SSU rRNA
Rfam family: Bacterial small subunit ribosomal RNA
Source: RNAcentral
GACGAACGCUGGCGGCGUGCUUAACACAUGCAAGUCGAGCGGUAAGGCCCUUUCGGGGGUACGACGAGCGGCGAACGGGUGAGUAACACGUGGGUGACCUGCCCUCAGCUCUGGGAUAAGCCUGGGAAACUGGGUCUAAUACUGGAUAUGACUCCACGGUGCAUGUCGUGGGGUGGAAAGCCUUGUGCGGCUGAGGAUGGGCCCGCGGCCUAUCAGCUUGUUGGUGGGGUGAUGGCCUACCAAGGCGACGACGGGUAGCCGGCCUGAGAGGGCGACCGGCCACACUGGGACUGAGACACGGCCCAGACUCCUACGGGAGGCAGCAGUGGGGAAUCUUGCGCAAUGGGCGAAAGCCUGACGCAGCGACGCCGCGUGAGGGAUGACGGCCUCGG